UACGGGAGGCAGCAGUGGGGAAUAUUGCACAAUGGGCGCAAGCCUGAUGCAGCCAUGCCGCGUGUAUGAAGAAGGCCUUCGGGUUGUAAAGUACUUUUCAGCGGGGAGGAAGGCGAUGUGGUUAAUAACCGCGUCGAUUGACGUUACCCGCAGAAGAAGCACCGGCUAACUCCGUGCCAGCAGCCGCGGUAAUACGGAGGGUGCAAGCGUUAAUCGGAAUUACUGGGCGUAAAGCGCACGCAGGCGGUCUGUUAAGUCAGAUGUGAAAUCCCCGGGCUUAACCUGGGAACUGCAUUUUGAAACUGGCAGGCUUGAGUCUCGUAGAGGGGGUAGAAUUCCAGGUGUAGCGGUGAAAUGCGUAGAGAUCUGGAGGAAUACCGGUGGCGAAGGCGGCCCCUGGGACGAAGACUGACGCUCAGGGUGCGAAAGCGUGGGGAGCAAACGAGGAUUAGGAUACC
Molecule: ribosomal RNA, 458 nt
Filed under: uncultured bacterium
Lineage: Bacteria
Description: bacterial SSU rRNA
Rfam family: Bacterial small subunit ribosomal RNA
Source: RNAcentral